CUUUUCAUUUCUGAGAGUAUUUUGGAGCCUGUGUGAUCUCUGAUGUGGAAAUUGGGAACUCGUGUUAUGUAAAGAUGGUGUGAACCGUUUGCUUGCUUCGUGUACGUAUAUUCUCACCGGAGGCACCGUCGUGAGCUUUUCUCUUUGGUUCAUUUUGCUGAAACCUCUUUGACCUUUCCAAUAAAUCAUUUGUUUCACCCUGUCAAUGAGAGGAACCAUUGGAAGAAAGAUCCCAAACCCCGAUUUUUCCAAUGCCACUAGAAAAAUGCUAGUUCCAUUCUCUAUAUCUUCUGGUUUUGGUGGUGGCGGACGUGGUCAUGGUCGUGGAGGCUCUCUCCCUGGUUCAGGGCUGUUCAAUAUCAAUGAAAGAGCUCCAGUUAAGCCUAAUUCCAGUGAGUCCAAAUCUGACACAACAGAGCCACCCAUUCCUCUUGGUUCUGGUCAUGGCCAUAGUACUUUUUAAUGGUAAGGAUGAUGGAAGUGAUACUGGAAGAGAAAGAGAAAAUAGAGGGAGAGGUGGGUUUGAUCGAGGCAGGGGCAGAGGAAGAGGUUCAGAGAAGGGGAAGGGGAAGGUCAGAGAGAAGGAUGUGGAUGAAAAGGUUAUGGAUACAGAUGAUUUUGCUACAGGGCUAUAUAAAGGAGAAGAUGCAGAUGGUGAAAAAUUAGCCAGAAAGAUUGGGCCUGAGAUAAUGAAUCAGUUGACUGAAGGAUUUGAGGAGAUGACUAGUAGAAUUUUACCAUUGGCAUUGGAGGAUGAGUUUUUGGAUGCACUAGACAUCAAUUAUGCAAUUGAAUUUGAGCCAGAAUAUUUGGUGGAGUUUGAUAAUCCAGAUAUUGAUGAGAAGGAACCAAUUCCACUACGGGAUGCACUUGAGAAGGCAAAACCAUUCUUGAUGUCAUAUGAGGGGAUUCAAAGUCAGGAAGAGUGGGAGAAAAUAAUGGAAGAGACAAUGGUGAAUGGUGCGAGUUCCAUUGUUGAAAAAGAUUGUUGAUCACUACAGUGGACCAGAUAGGGUAACUGCAAAGAAGCAACAAGAAGAAUUAGACAGAGUUGCUAAAAUUCUUCCUGAAAGUGCACCAUCUUCAGUAAAACAAUUUACUAAUCGUUCUGUUAUUUCUCUUCAGGUUUGGAACUGUAAAUAUUGAUAUUGUGUUGGGCAUAAAAUGUCUUUUACUUGGGCAGUUGUUUCCCUCUUAUGUUGAUAAUCUUAUUAUAAGUAUCUCUGCCAAUGAUGUUCUAUUGCUUGCUCAUGCAGUUCAGUGUUAAAUGAACCCCCUUCCUCGGUAUAGUUUUCUCAUAAUUUGAUGAUAUUAGUAAAGGAUCUAUUUCUCAAGAGUUGCAUAUUCAAUAGAAAUCCAAAAAAUAUUUGCUGUUCUUUCUAGGAAUCCCAAAUCUAGUUGACUAGUUGAUAAAAUAAAUCCCAAAUGUAUUGAGACAUAAAAUAUGUUUUUGAUGUUGUGCCGGCUGAGCGGUUGUUAUUGAUAAGGCAUAGAUAGGAAAAUCAAUUCUCAGCCAAAAACAUAAUUAAUAUUUGUUUAAAUCUAUUAAAAAAUAUUGCAAAAAAAUAAUGAAGAUUGUUAGCUAUUAGAGUUGACUUUGGUAGAAUGAGAUAAUUAUUUACUGUAUGACUAGAAAUCCAGGAGGCUCCCAAACAUUAGUUCCUGUUAUUAACGUGAAUUUGUGGCUUUGCACAUUAAAGAAGUGGUUCGAAGACUUGCUAUUUCAAGAUUAUAUAAAGUUUGCACUGUUUUGGCAAUCAAUUGAUUUUGGACGUAGUCACAAAUGUGGCUGGGAUUGCACUAAUCUAAAUCAGGAUAGGAGUGUAUUUUUAAUGUCCAAAUCUUGAUGUGUUGAGGAUAUCUGUUUUCCUGAGACUUUCAUGAAUUUCCUUAUACUGAGAUUGAUUUAUAAUCCUCCUUUGUCUCUUUUAUCCUUUCAUGAAGUUGGAUAAAUAUGUCUUGUCCACUUUUGACAGCAGAUUCUUCAUAUGAGAUCACAAGCAUAUAACUCUGCUAUCAAUUUUCUUUGCAUAAGAGAUUGAUUAUUACUGAAAAGUUUGGAGCUUGUUCUAUGAAUUAUUUGAGAAUUCCUUGGGCUAAUUCUUUGUAGGGAGACCAGUGUUCUAAAAUUUCAUCUAGUUUUGUUAUUUUUACUUUCAUUGUGCAUCAUACAUAAAAUGGUAUGUUGGUACUUUGAUGUCACAAGUGUUUAUUAUUUUUAUGAUAUUGGUGUUGCUUAGUUUUCUUUGGUGUGUCACAGCUGCAGUCAUUUCUUUUGUAGAAAUCAACAGUUUACUAACUUGAAAAGUCUCAACCACACAAAAAAAGUUCAGCAGAAGAAAGUACUAGAAUUUAACUUAAUGGUCGGAUUUAAUGGCGAGCAACCCAGGUUGGGGAUUUGACAAGAAAUGUCAUUUCAUGGAUAAGCUGGUUUGGGAAGUGUCUCAGCAUUACAAGUAACUUACUAUGCCUUUCAAGCUUAGACAUGGUUGGUUUUGAGGUAUACGAUAUCCAUUGUAAUGUGGACAAGCCAUCCGGCCUGCUUGCAUUUUUUAUUUUUUUUAUUUGAGUUUUCAUUAAAAAAAACUGCUAUUACUCUUGUAAUGGUAUGAAUGAUAGUUUUUGUAGCGUUGUUGCUAGCAAUUGUUACAUCUCUCGUAUACUUUCUAAUAAAGAAAUUAUCAUUUUAAUUA
This is an RNA transcript of Glycine soja, 2693 nucleotides long. RefSeq lists it as uncharacterized. The record is from RefSeq and is a predicted model, not a curated record. Lineage: Eukaryota; Viridiplantae; Streptophyta; Magnoliopsida; Fabales; Fabaceae. The transcript is spliced from 5 exons.